Molecule: ribosomal RNA, 450 nt
Filed under: uncultured bacterium
Lineage: Bacteria
Description: bacterial SSU rRNA
Rfam family: Bacterial small subunit ribosomal RNA
Source: RNAcentral
GUGGGGAAUUUUGCGCAAUGGGGGAAACCCUGACGCAGCAACGCCGCGUGGGUGAUGAAGGUCUUCGGAUUGUAAAACCCUGUCGUCGGGGACGAAGGUGGGCUCGUGAACAGCGAGUUUGCUUGACGGUACCCGGAGAGGAAGCCCCGGCUAACUCUGUGCCAGCAGCCGCGGUAAUACAGAGGGGGCAAGCGUUAUUCGGAAUUAUUGGGCGUAAAGGGCGCGUAGGCGGUGAUUCAAGUCGGAUGUGUAAUCCCCGGGCUCAACCUGGGAACUGCAUCCGAGACUGUGUUGCUAGAGUGCUGGAGAGGGUGGUGGAAUUCCUCGUGUAGCGGUGAAAUGCGUAGAGAUGAGGAGGAACACCAGUGGCGAAGGCGGCCACCUGGACAGUAACUGACGCUGAGGCGCGAAAGUGUGGGGAGCAAACAGGAUUAGAUACCCUUGUAGUCC